This is a long non-coding RNA of Branchiostoma floridae (Florida lancelet), 1383 nucleotides long. RefSeq lists it as uncharacterized. The transcript has 3 exons. The record is from RefSeq and is a predicted model, not a curated record. Lineage: Eukaryota; Metazoa; Chordata; Leptocardii; Amphioxiformes; Branchiostomatidae.
AAUAGGGUAACCGGUCGUUUCGUUACAUCGCCUUUUCGUUACAGUCAAUUCGUUACAUACGAAGUCAUUUCGUUACACAUGUGAAGGUCAUUUCGUUACACAUGGGAAGGUCAUUUCGUUACACUUGAUUAUUAUCCUAUCUUGGUCGCAUGUUAAACGGUAUAAGUGUUUUCCUGUUAUCUUGUUCAGGUUGAUCUUCCUUGGUUGACAUUAGAGACGUGACAGAACACUCAAUUUUACGUUUGGUUUUGGUUAUUGUUUGUUUUUUAUCGUUCGGUUUUGUUCCGUUCCGUGAUACCAAUAGACACAUAUCAUUCAUUCUUAACACGUCCCUGUUUCUCAUAUCUCUCUACUAACACUGUUCAAUGUUUCUAUAUCUUCAAGAAAGGGUAUUCGAUUAAGUUAUUACCGGAGAAAUGCGAAUUUCGGGAAAGGUAAGUCAAAUCAUGUGUGGAAGAUGUACCAUUUAGAAGAACGUUGCUGUAAUGUAUCUUGACCCGACUUUGCAUUGAAUCUUUCAUAUUCAUAUUCAGUCAAAAAUACACAACAAGACUAUUGUACCAUUUGUGUUCCCCACCGACCUUUGUCCUGUACACUAUUACGGUAUUCACUAUUACAGUACUACGUACGUGGUGGGAAGGAGGACAAUGAACCCUUGCGUCGUGCAAUGCAUGACGGUCUAGCAUCAGUUGUCGGCAUAAGAAUAUAUUCGUGUGUGUUGUAGAAAAUGUACGGAAACAUUACAUUUUCUCCGUUUAAACUGGCGCAUGGGUAAUGUUUAGUAGGGAAAAAAUGGUAAGGAGAGAUAUAAGCCUGAUUUUUUUUUCCUUGAAGGGGUAUUGGAUAUCGUUUUAUAGGCAUUUUGUCGGCGCCGAACGGACCAGAAACCUACGAAAGUGCGUGCCCGCCGGUCUAUUAAACAACAAUAGGUCUUUACUGCGCGCGCUGUACUGGUAUAUCAACGAUACUAAAGGCAUCUAAUCGUGAUUUAUUGUACACAUCACAGCAUAUAUGAUAAAUGAUCAAGUUACUACAUAACAGAUAUAUUAUGUGUAAUCUCUCCUUGGUUCAGAUGACCGUUCAAGUCGACAUGCAGCGUGGCCCGUCAGCGCCUCCAGCGCUUGGCGGCGUUCAAUAUCUGCCGAAAAACAAGAAAGAAAUUGAAAUUUUGAGUCCCGGCUUUUUGUUACCACGAAAAGUAAUACAUUUGUAGUAAGAAGUACUAUAACGGCCUGACAUUAAUCUGUAACGAAAUGACUUGGUGAUGUAACGAAAUGACUUGGUGAUGUAACGAAAUGACUAAUCAUGGUGUAACGAAAUGACUUCAUGAUGUAACGAAAUGACGUGUAACGAAAAGACCAUGUAACGAAACGACCUGUAUUC